AGUGCUCCAGGUCUGCCCCCAGGCUCCAAGGGUGGGUCUCCUAGGGGCUGGAAAGUGCCCCACCAAUCUGGCUAAGAUAAAGAAAAGAUAUGAAGAGAAAGUUACAGAAACUUGAAGGGUUAAGCUAAGUCGCUGAGAGAGUUAUUGUAAGUUGCAGAGAAAAUAAGUUGAUGCGUGGUUCAGGGUCUGUGCAGAAAAGUGGACAGCACCUAAUAGCUGUAGAAGAAGAUGCAGAGAGACAGAAAAAAAAAGAAAGAAAGAAAGAAAGAGGUAAAGAGUGCAGGAAGCUAGGGAAGAAAAGAGACUAAAAGAAGAGGAAGCUAGAGAGCUAAAGAGAGAUAAAAGACAAGAGAGGAACAUAUACUGGCCACAGUAGUUAGGGAACCUAGGAAGACAGUACCUGGCAACAGAAGAGAAUUCCUGGCUAAAGAUCAGUGUGCCUAAUGCAAAGAAAAAAAAAAGACACUGGGUCAGGGACUGCCCCAGAAAGAACAAGAGGGGACACUGGAGAGCCUCUUGGUCCUAGAGUGCUGGCUAUGUACAGAGAUAGAAGGGAAGUGUGGAUGCAGGGACCCAAUGCUCUGUGCUCCUAUGCCCCCCUCCAGUGGGCCAAUAUCCAAAGACCUUGGGUACAGGGGCCUACUGGCAACAAACAAUACUUAUGGACUGCCCGAAGAACAGUGGACCUUGGCGUGGGCCGGGUAACCCACUAGUUCAUAGUCAUCCCUGACUGCCCCUAUCCCUUGCUCAUGAGAAAAUUGCUCUCCAAAAUGGCUUGCGUGGGCUGAAAUGGCUGGGUGAGGCCAUGUGUAUGCAUAUCUACAGACUGUGUAUGCGGAGCUUAAGACCUGUCUCAGUGCACCAGUACCUGAUGCUGGGAGACGAAUGGCUUAGCGCUGUUCUACUUGGAACAUAUCACUCCUGCCAGCCGGGCACUAACAAUUAUCACCCAAUCCAGGACUUAAACUGUGAUAGAGUGGCUGAUGUUCUGCCUUUGAAUAGAGUGUCCCAAAAGAUGGGACCACUGGUCAGCUGCCAUGGACUAGAUUCUCCACCGGUUGGGGACAAUCUGGUCACCUUGCUGCCCAAUCCGGACCUGGAGCCACCACAGCACAAGUGUCAAGUACUGGCAGAAGCCCAUGGGUGGAGGAAAGACCUCUGCGACUGGCUGAUUGACCCCUGCUGAAAGCCGAGGACCUUGUCCACAGACGGGAACAGUUCUCUUCAUGAAUGAAGUACAUCAGCACUGCAGAUGCCUUUACCAUCUCUUGGAUGCCCUGGUGAAGCCAACAACUGUGAGUACUAUUCAUUGCUCAGGAUAUCAGGAGGGAAGAGAUUCAGUGACAUGGGGCAAUAACGAAGCAGAUAAAGUGGCUCGAAAAAUGGUUAUGCAGGAGCCCAUCCUGGUUGCAGGCCUGCAAGAGACAGCCACUGGGAACUGGGAUCGGACUAAGGGAUGGCCUCACUUAGAAAAGGCCCAAAUUGCUUAAAAGAUAAAGGACAAUGGCACAUUGAGGGGAAAGCUAUACUUCCCAGAGAACAAAGAAAAGACUCACUUUGCCAAAUACAGAAAUGGACUCAUUUAGGAGAUAAAAAGUUUGUCCAAGUAGUUAAGUGUAUGUAAUAGACUUUAAGAUUUUAGCCAGAGAGACAGUAGAAAGUAUAAGGUAUGUCAAUAAGUGAAUGCUUAGCAAGCAAACAGGGCAAAGAGACCUAGAGAGUUUGGUGAAAAGUCGAAGUGAACUUCACUGAGAUAAAACCAGAAAAAUAUAAUCACAAGUAUCUCCUAGUGCUUGUAGAUACUUUUUCAGGAAUAGAUAGAAGCUUUCCUCACCAAACAAGAGACGGCCUCUGCAAUCAUCAAGAAGAUACUGGAAGAAAUCUUCCUCUGAUUUGGAAUGCCCAAGGUAAUCUGGUCAGACAACGGCCCUACUUUCGUUGCCAAGGUAAGCCAGGGUGUGGCCAAGUAUUUAGAGGUCAAUUGGAAAUUACAUUGUAUUUACAGACCUCAAAGUUCAGGACAGGUAGGGUAAAUAAAUAGAACUCUAAAAGAGACCCUGACCAAAUUAACCAUGGAGACUGGCACAGACUGGGUGACACUCCUUCCCUCUUGCUCUCUUCAGAGCAAGAAAUACCCCUUCCAGAUUCAGCCUUACCCCCUUUGAGAUCUUAUAUGGGGCCUCAGCCCCCCUGACUGUAUUAGAUGAUGUUACUGAACCAACAUGUCAUAGUGCCAUAGUAAUAAUGAUUUGUGUGCCAGGCUAAAAGACCUACAGGUGAUACAGAAAGAAAUCUGCUCACAGCUGACAGCAGCCUAUGCCCCGGAGACCCCUGAGACAUCCCAUCAGUUCCAGGUUGCAGCUACACUGAGUCCAGACACUCGAGCCUCGCUGGAAAGGACCGUACCUGGUGCUGCUGACCACCCUGACAGCUGUCAAUUCUCAGCCCUCACCAGCCGUGUACUAGCUGUUGGGGCUGAGAGCUGGGACCUAGAGGGAAAUUCAGUCAUGUUUGUCCUGGGUUCUAUCAAGAUAGGUGUGGGAUAGGCUUGAUUUCCAUUACAAAUGAUGUAACAUUGCAUAUGUUAGUACUCUUAACACUUCUUGGGACUGUGCCUCAGGGAUCACAGUCCGUAUAAGCUUAGAAGUUCUAAAAGCUAGUCAUGACCUUGGUGGAUAGGCUUGGAUAGUGUCCAGGUUAGAAUCCUCAUGUUAAGACUACAAUACCAAGCUGUUAUGCUAGAUGAAGCUGAGUUCUCCAUGAAGUUCUAGGAUUAGAACUAUUAACAAAAAAAGAAGAAGUGGGGAAUGAAGGAUUAAAAUUAAUAAUAAGCCGCCUAGCUACCCAAAAAGAAGAGGUAGGGUCUGUGAGAACAUGAACUUUUCGCCCCUCCCUUGCUGUGCAAUGGUUCCCGGAACAUUCUUGCAUGAAAGGUUUCCUGGAACAGCCACAAUGACCCAUAGCCUCCGGCCACAAUGGUCCAAUGGCCCUGUAAAAUGUCGCAAAGUCCUGGGUGUGUUGCCUAGUGUUGCACGUGGCUAGCAUAUGGCCUAGAUGUAUGGGCAGUUUAUGGUUUUGGAAUUCCCCUCCUCCCUCCCUCUUGAUCCCCCUGGUUUGUGGUUUUUUCCUUUAUAAGCUCUGUGAAAAUUCAGGUCGGGGUCGAACUCCUCUACUCCCUGUGUGGCGUAUGAGUCUCGACCCCAGCAUGCUGGCCUGAGCUCUCGUUUCAUCUCGCUCACAAUAAAUCUUCCUCGUGUGAUUACAGCA
Rattus norvegicus (Norway rat) is the source of this 3267-nucleotide non-coding RNA. The record is from RefSeq and is a predicted model, not a curated record. NCBI's taxonomy places the organism in Eukaryota, Metazoa, Chordata, Mammalia, Rodentia, Muridae.